This 1942-nucleotide unclassified non-coding RNA is filed under the name Daphnia pulicaria. Its description in RNAcentral is "neurotrophin 1-like, transcript variant X1". Lineage: Eukaryota; Metazoa; Arthropoda; Branchiopoda; Diplostraca; Daphniidae. The record is from RNAcentral.
CUUUUUAGGAACAGUGUUGUGGAAAUUUUAUUACAACCGCAUCUUGAUUUGAAUAUUUGAUGAAAAUUCUCCACGCGGACAACCGUUCGACCGAGAAGUAAUCGUCGAAAAUUUUGCACAAAGGUGAAAAGCUCCGACAACGCAUCCGCACGAUCCGGGCAACUUGAAUUUUUCAAUGGCGAAAGGGAAGGUGUAGUCUUGUGGGUUGUAGACCAAGAAGCGAUGGAAAAUAUUUUUCUGGACGCAUUUGGACUCGUAGCAGGACGGGACCAAGGGGCAGGUGGUGCCCACGACCACGUCGCAUUCUUCAAUUCGAGCAGUUUGCGUGUACUUGAUGCCGUAAGAUUCGACGCCGUUGACGAUGGUGCGCCACUGGCCGUCGACGUUGAUGGCCCGGAAAGGACGGACGUAAUCGGUGGAACUCGGGCAAAGUUAUGCAUCAGUGCCAUCUUACUUGCUGGAGUGUUUGCCGAUCCGGAGGCAGCUGCUGAGCCCCAACAAUAUCCCAAACCAGCCUAUCCAGCAGCUUAUGGCCAGAAGUACAACAAUUACUGCAACCCGCGAAAGGCACCAACCUGCGCCAAAACCGGCACUGAAACUUUUUGUCUGAAAGACACCGAAUACCCAGAGAAAGAAGUCAAGUACGCCAUCGAUUACGACUCGUUGGUGCUGAAGAAAUACGCCGAUGUUGCCGAUCAGUCGGCCGAUAAUUUGGUCGAUGGACUGACCUCUUUGGCUGAGGCGCACUUCGACUACUCCAACUACAAAGGGAAAUUCUUCGAGAAGGGCCACUGGUCUGGUGACGAGGGAUACAUCUGCCCUAGCGACGUUGUUUAUGCUCGCCCACUCCGAGCAGUGAAUGUCGAUGGAGAAUGGCGGGUCAUCGUCCAAGAAAACGCCUGGCCCGGAUACACCCAGACUCAACGCGUCGAAACUUGUUUGUUCCCUGGUGCAUCUUGUCGCACCUUGGCCCCUUGUUUCGGCAGCAAAUGUCUGCAAAAAUAUGUUUACCAGCGGAUGCUUUCCUUCGAUCCUUGCGAUCCCCAGAAGGGAAUCUUCAUCGACAUCUACAAGUUGCCAUCGGCCUGCUCUUGCCACAUUCCCGGUAAACUGCACUGACUCAAUUCAUUUUUCAAAAUGAAAUUCCAUCGUGAUGUUCAUUUAAUUUAAAACUGUCAAUGUGGACCUUACGAUGAUAACUUAACUAACACUUGUCUUAAAAUAGCAUAACUUGAAUCUAUCAAUUUGAAAUUCUGCUCUUGUAUUUCAUUUGGUUGAAAUUGUGAGAUCUGAAGAAUAUUAUUACCAAAUCAUACCGAGAAAUUUCAGAAUAAAAAUGGAAAGGAUUGGGCUUCCACUAAAGAAAACUUUUCAAAUAUUUUGUUGUUGAAAUUGAAUUAAAAGAAAUAAUUUUCCUAUUGUUAGAGGAAUUCCAAUCUUCAGCCUAUAUUUGUUGGUAUCAAGUAUCAACACUGACGACGGUUCCAAAUCAGGCAACAAGAUGUCACUUGAAGGACUCUCACUCAAGAAGGAACGACAACUGAGUCGUGAGAUCCAGUGAUUUUUGUGUAUGUCUGACACUGUGGUAUAUCGUCGACUCAAUGUGAGUGACUAUGUGGAAACGCUGCAGCUUCUCCUAAAAGACGCAUGUCAUCACAUCAACAACCAGCAACAAGAGAACGGUCUAACUAAAGGCUAACAAUUUCUUCGAAAUCGAAAUUGAGCAGCAAAUGAAUCUACAAAUCCUGAAUAUUUCCGGGUGAUGGGACGAGCUUUUCGAAGACAAGUCUUUUAUUAUUUAGUUGCUUUCAACAAUGGAGCAAAUAAGGAGUCAACACGAUAAUAUUCGUAAGAGAUUUUAAAAAAUGUUUAUUGAUAGCAUCCAGAAUGCAUUAUUGAUUAAGUAAGGUUAUUCAUAUUAAAAGUCAUAUAGUCAUUCUCA